Molecule: ribosomal RNA, 482 nt
Filed under: uncultured bacterium
Lineage: Bacteria
Description: bacterial SSU rRNA
Rfam family: Bacterial small subunit ribosomal RNA
Source: RNAcentral
UUGAACGCUGGCGGCAUGCUUUACACAUGCAAGUCGAACGGCAGCGGGGGCUUCGGCCUGCCGGCGAGUGGCGAACGGGUGAGUAAUGCAUCGGAACGUGCCCAGUCAUGGGGGAUAACUACGCGAAAGCGUAGCUAAUACCGCAUACGCCCUGAGGGGGAAAGCGGGGGAUCGCAAGACCUCGCGUUAUUGGAGUGGCCUAGGCCUGAUUAGCUAGUUGGUGAGGUAAAGGCUCACCAAGGCGACGAUCAGUAGCUGGUCUGAGAGGAUGAUCAGCCACACUGGAACUGAGACACGGUCCAGACUCCUACGGGAGGCAGCAGGGGGGAAUUUUGGACAAUGGGGGAAACCCUGAUCCAGCCAUUCCGCGUGAGGGAAGAAGGCCUUCGGGGUGUAAAGCUCUUUCAGGAGGGAAGAAACGGUUGCGGCUAAUACCCGCGACUAAUGACGGUACCUUCAGAAGAAGCACCGGCUAACUACGU